AACCACGUUCCAUUGCUCCUUGAUUUUCAUUUAUUUUAUUAAUUUAUUUUGUGACAAUGACUACCCUUUGAAUUGACUUGGUUUACAGAAGCACAAGAGCAACUUUCUUUGUUCCUAUGUCCUAUGAACUCAGCCUCACUGAUCUCUCAGCCUAAGUCUGAGGAAGGAAAUGUAGAGUCACCUCCCUCUUCUCCUGAAAACUCACAAGAACAACCACAGCAAACAAAUCCAGAGGAGAAACCGCCUGCUCCUAAGACUCAGGAAGAGCCACAGCACUAUAGAGGUCGUCCUCCAAAGAAGAUUUUUCCUUUUUCCAUUCGCCAGAAGAUUUUAGAGAGUACCUGAGAAGAUUAUGACCUUCAGAUGUGUAGGUCAACAAAUCACUGUUGAUUGUCUAUAAUAUUCCAAUAAAAAUUUUCAGCAUGC
Molecule: long non-coding RNA, 426 nt
Filed under: Rattus norvegicus (Norway rat)
Lineage: Eukaryota; Metazoa; Chordata; Mammalia; Rodentia; Muridae
Description: long non-coding RNA NONRATT020947
Source: RNAcentral